UACGGGGGGGGCAAGCGUUGUCCGGAAUUAUUGGGCGUAAAGGGCUCGUAGGCGGCCAAUUAAGUCGGACGUGAAAUCCCCAGGCUCAACCUGGGAACUGCGUCUGAUACUGGAUGGCUUGAAUCCGGGAGAGGGAUGCAGAAUUCCAGGUGUAGCGGUGAAAUGCGUAGAUAUCUGGAGGAAUACCGGUGGCGAAGGCGGCAUCCUGGACCGGCAUUGACGCUGAUGAGCGAAAGCUAGGGGAGCAAACGGG
This 253-nucleotide ribosomal RNA is filed under the name uncultured bacterium. RNAcentral describes it as "partial 16S ribosomal RNA". It matches the Rfam family "Bacterial small subunit ribosomal RNA", at positions 524 to 776 of the family's 1533-position model. The record is from RNAcentral.